AGACAUGUAGCUUAGUGGUAAAGUAGCCUAUUGGCUGGGGAGUUGUAACUCAGUAGUAUAGCAGCUUGGUGUUUGCAGGUGUGCAGUUUCCUUGGGUUUGAAUCCUAGCUUGUCUA
Non-coding RNA from Picea glauca (white spruce), 116 nucleotides. The record is from Rfam. Lineage: Eukaryota; Viridiplantae; Streptophyta; Pinopsida; Pinales; Pinaceae.